GCCAGUGAUGACAGUUUAUAAAAUGGUUGACUGAAAAGCAAGUUUUUAAGCUUGCAAAGUUGCUGAAAAUCAUGAACUAGGACGGUCUGAGGC
Molecule: non-coding RNA, 93 nt
Organism: Helianthus annuus (common sunflower)
Lineage: Eukaryota; Viridiplantae; Streptophyta; Magnoliopsida; Asterales; Asteraceae
Source: Rfam